Molecule: long non-coding RNA, 1277 nt
Organism: Tupaia belangeri chinensis (Chinese tree shrew)
Lineage: Eukaryota; Metazoa; Chordata; Mammalia; Scandentia; Tupaiidae
Exons: 4
Source: RefSeq, a predicted model, not a curated record
CCCCUCCUGGCCGGCCGCGCGGUCUGCCCCUGUCAGCCUAGGCCUCGGCCCGGCCUGGCGGGUCCUGGGGACUCCGCACGAGUACUCACUUCAGGGACUCCGAGCCCCUGGCUUCCGUACCUUGGCAGAUCCGCUCCACCAGCGCUCCAGCAGCCCCCGGGCCCUCCGCGGCCUUCCAGACCCCAAGGACAGGGGCACCGGCACAGUCACCCUUCCCAUCGUGGCCCGCUUUGCCCCAUAGCUGCGCCUGAUGUUCCCGGAUUCCUGAGGGUUUUAUGCCACGAUCCUCACCAGCCUUCCAAGCCAGCCAAUAUAAUGGGUGCAUGUGCCUGAUGUAUGUAGACAACUGGGGAACGGAACCCACAAUCUUCCAUAUGGACUCAACAUCACCUGAGCACUGCAUUACCCACUGUACCACCAAGUGGGCCCUGUGUUAUUAUAGAAUCUUAAUCCUGACAAUAUUAAUACCAAGAACACCUAGCACCUUGCAGAACUGAUGGUGCAUAGAGCACUUGGUGCCAAGCUGAAGACACCACUUAUCCUUCACUACUAAGAAAUGCAACCAAAGCCAUUUGCAGUUGCCAUGUACAAUGAGCCUGAUUGCAUCGUAUGAGCAAGCACUACCAUGAAAGUAUACAUCUAAGCAAAGCUUUUCAUUUACUUGACAGAGAAGACAUGCUAAUCUUCUGCUCUUUCUUUAUAUUACGUAUUAUAUUAUCCACAUAUCUUGGAAACAAUUGUCCCCAACCACAAUUAGCUGGGGAGUGGAGGGGUGUUAGGAUUCUGUCCUCUAUAAUAGCAGCCCCCAAAAUUUCCAGUGGGCACCAGGAACUGGCCUUGUGGAAGAUAAUCCCUCCAUGGACAAGAGGUAGAUGAAGGUUAAGGAGGUAAGGGGGUAGUACAUUUGGUCUUGGAAUGACCCAAACACACCACAUCCACCAUGCACCCCAUUUUUAGCACUACCACAUUGCAAUAUGUAAGGAAACAUUCACACAACAAUAGUGUUCAUGAAAAUUCAAUACUGCUGCUUAUCAGUCAGGAGACAGAACCCAGGCAGCAAUGUGAGUGAUGGGGAGGGGCUACAAACACAAAGCCUCACUUCCUUGCUGAUUGCCCAUCCUCUGCAGUGGGGGUGGGGGACACCAACAGGGCAUGACCAGACCAAUCCACAGCCCAGAGAUUAAGAACCCCUGCCUAGUGGACCCAUGAGCCCAGCUAUUUUUCAGUCCUAAAUGGACUUUUAAGUAUUAGUCAGAAAGUUUAAGCUGUCCUCCUAU